This 828-nucleotide ribosomal RNA is filed under the name uncultured bacterium. Its description in RNAcentral is "bacterial SSU rRNA". It matches the Rfam family "Bacterial small subunit ribosomal RNA", at positions 8 to 852 of the family's 1533-position model. The record is from RNAcentral.
AGAGUUUGAUCCUGGCUCAGGAUGAACGCUAGCAGAGCGCUUAACACAUGCAAGUCGAGCGGGAAAGUUGCCUUCGGGCGACGAGUAAAGCGGCAGACGGGUGAGUAACGCGUACUCAACCUACCUUUAAGAAGUGGAUAACUGUGGAAACGCAGCUAAACCGCUAUAUACUUUAUGAGAGGAAGUUAUCAUAAAGGAAAUGAUUUUAUCGCUUAAAGAGGGGGGUGCGUCCUACUAGGUAGUUGGUGAGAUAGAGGCUCACCAAGCCAAAUGGGUAGCCGUACUGAGAGGUAGAACGGCCACAAUGGGACUGAGACACGGCCCAUACUCCUACGGGAGGCAGCAGUGGGGAAUCUUGCACAAUGGAGGAAACUCUGAUGCAGCGACUCUGCGUGGAGGACGAAGCCCUACGGGGUGUAAACUCCUUUUCUGGGGGAAGAUAGUGACGGUACCUCAGGAAUAAGGGACGGCUAACUACGUGCCAGCAGCCGCGGUAAUACGUAGGUCCCAAGUGUUAUUCGGAAUUAUUGGGCGUAAAGGGUCCGAAGCCUGUUAUGAAAGUCUAUUCUCAAAGGCCGUGGCUUAACCACGGACAGGGGAUAGAAACUACAUAACUAGAGAUGCCGAGGGGAUAAUGGAAUUCCUGGUGGAGAAGUGGAAUUCGUUGAUAUCAGGAGGAAUGCCGAAAGCGGAGGCAGUUAUCUAUCGGUUAUCUGACGGUCAAGGACGAAAGCUUGGGUAGCAAACAGGAUUAGAUACCCUGGUAGUCCAAGCUGUAAAUGAUGCCUGCUAGGUGUUGGUCCGUUUUGAAAGGAUCAGUGCCGUAAC